Molecule: ribosomal RNA, 464 nt
Filed under: Vreelandella stevensii
Lineage: Bacteria; Pseudomonadati; Pseudomonadota; Gammaproteobacteria; Oceanospirillales; Halomonadaceae
Description: partial 16S ribosomal RNA
Rfam family: Bacterial small subunit ribosomal RNA
Source: RNAcentral
CCUACGGGGGGCUGCAGUGGGGAAUAUUGGACAAUGGGGGCAACCCUGAUCCAGCCAUGCCGCGUGUGUGAAGAAGGCCCUCGGGUUGUAAAGCACUUUCAGUGAGGAAGAACGCCUGGUGGUUAAUACCCAUCAGGAAAGACAUCACUCACAGAAGAAGCACCGGCUAACUCCGUGCCAGCAGCCGCGGUAAUACGGAGGGUGCGAGCGUUAAUCGGAAUUACUGGGCGUAAAGCGCGCGUAGGUGGCUUGAUAAGCCGGUUGUGAAAGCCCCGGGCUCAACCUGGGAACGGCAUCCGGAACUGUCAAGCUAGAGUGCAGGAGAGGAAGGUAGAAUUCCCGGUGUAGCGGUGAAAUGCGUAGAGAUCGGGAGGAAUACCAGUGGCGAAGGCGGCCUUCUGGACUGACACUGACACUGAGGUGCGAAAGCGUGGGUAGCAAACAGGAUUAGAUACCCUGGUAGU